GUCUUGGUUGUGCACGAUCCUUUUCAUUUACACCUUUUGUUUGCGAGUGAAAAGCUAGCCUUUUUAUAGCUCUGCGUACAGUGACACCGAGGUCUUAGGCCAUUCCGAUAUGUCUACGGUUUUUUUUUUAAAGAAGCUCUAGAUCUCAAAUAUCGUAACAUGACUGCAAUACAUCAUAUUCACAAACCACUUAAAUAAACUAUGUUACUUUC
Molecule: long non-coding RNA, 212 nt
Filed under: Mytilus galloprovincialis (Mediterranean mussel)
Lineage: Eukaryota; Metazoa; Mollusca; Bivalvia; Mytilida; Mytilidae
Source: RNAcentral